AUGCGAGAUGGUCUCCGGCCGCGGCGCCAGCCGCCUCCGCCGGCCAAGGAGACGAGGGCGGCCGGUUCCGGUCCUAAUACUUCCAAGAAGAGGAAGCUAGCGGGACACCAGCACCGUGAAGAGGUGCCGACGGCGGCAGUGGGCCUGCACAUCCACGGAGAGGUGCUAGCGCCGCCGCCGGGGGGGCCAGAUCCGAAAUCGACGGACAAGCCGCCCGCCGGAGGGGAGGUAGACGGAGGAGCCGUCGACCGCAUCAGCAACCUCCACGACGAUAACCUCCGCCACAUCGUCUCCCUCCUCCCCGUCAAGGACGGCGCCCGCACCCAGAUUCUCGCGUCCCGGUGGCGCCACCUCUGGCGCUCCGCCCCUCUCAAUCUCGAUUACCGUGAGUUCCCCUCCGGCUGCUUGCCCCCUUACAUCGAUUCCCGCAUUGCCGUCAUCUCGCACAUCCUUUCCUCCCACCCGGGGCCGGGCCGCCGCUUCUGCAUCGAACCGUGCUACCUCCACGCCCCGGAGGCUACCGUCGACGCCUGGCUCCGGUCCGCCGCUCUGGACAAAUUGCAGGAGCUUGAGACCGGCUCUACUAUAUGCAUUGACCCGCCGCCAGCGUCCACAUUCCGCUUCUCGGCCACCCUCUGUGUUGCCACCUUGGGAAAAUGCAGCCUCCCUGACGACAUCGUCCAAGGGCUUCACUUUCCCCUCCUUAAGCAGCUCGGGCUCGAUAGUGUCCGCAUCACAGAGUUCUCGUUGCACAGGUUGAUUGCCGGAUGCACACCUGCUCUGGAGUGCUUGCUGAUCGACCGAUGCUCUGGCUUCCGUAGCGUCCGGAUCAACUCCCUUAGCCUUGUAAGCAUCGGUGUGCGUCCAGAAUGCUAUUGUGCCAUCCCAUUUCGGGAACUCAUCAUCGAGAAUACCCCUUGUCUUGAGAGGUUGCUCCAUCUUGAUUUUUCCAUUGGUAUCCAUGUAUCAAUAGUCUCCGCGCCGAAGUUGCAGACCCUAGGCUGCCUUUCUGAUGUCACCUUGCCUACAUUUGCGGAGAGCUUAAGCGGCAUUUCUGGUGGGUUUCGUAACUCAGAUAAGGAUCGUCUUCCCAUGUUCGUGUUUGGCUCCACAGUUAUUAAGGGACCACGUGUUGAUAAGCUGACAACGGCAGUGCGGUCAGUCAAGACUUUAGCUGUACAGAUGGGAACUCUUAGUCUGGAUACAGUUAUUGAGUUGAUGAGAUGCUUUCCAUCCUUGGAGAAGAUGUACAUUCAGCCACGGUCAGAAGGGGAAAACAAUGUAUGGCGUCGUAAGCACCGCAAUUUCAUCAGAAGUUUUGAGAUUCCUAUAAAGACAAUAGCAUUGGAAUGUUAUGAGGGCUCCAAGUCUGAAGUUGACUUUGUCACAUUCUUCGUACUGAACGCGAGACUGUUGGAGUUGAUGACAUUUCACAUUCAGUCCCAUGUUUACACGGAGGAGUUCUUUGCAGAGCAGCGCAGGGAGCUUCAGCUGGAGAAAAAGGCUUCCAAAGGUGCCCAGUUUCAUUUUACAGUCGGUAGAUGUGUCCGCAGUGUUUGGACUAUGCGUCAUGUGCGUGAUUUGGGUUUAAUGGACCCAUUCGCAUGUUGA
This 1611-nucleotide ribosomal RNA is filed under the name Triticum aestivum (bread wheat). RNAcentral describes it as "partial small subunit ribosomal RNA". The record is from RNAcentral. Lineage: Eukaryota; Viridiplantae; Streptophyta; Magnoliopsida; Poales; Poaceae.